Long non-coding RNA from Ictalurus punctatus (channel catfish), 1842 nucleotides. NCBI's taxonomy places the organism in Eukaryota, Metazoa, Chordata, Actinopteri, Siluriformes, Ictaluridae. The record is from Ensembl.
UCCAUUUUUCUCCCCAUGUAUACAAAGCAUAACUGUCAUGAUAUGUGUCAUUUUAAGCCGAUUUUCCAUCCUGUGAUGCGAUGAAUUGGAGCGAAUAAGCUGGAAGCAGCAGAUGGCUAACAGCCCAGUGCGGUUGCUAAGGUUGCCUGAAUGCUACUCGCAGAGUUUUCUGGUUAGCAUAGAACAAGACAAGAGAGCUACACACAGAAUGAGCUAUCAAUCGUGUAAAAAGCGUAAUCCGUAGUCUUAAAAAAAUGAUUCGUCUGUGUUUGGAUGGCAGGCAUAUUGGCAAGUUGUCAUGACAACAGGGAUGUUCUGCUGAUGAAGACUUGCUGUCGACUGUCCAAUCGGAUGACGGCAGCUUAAACUGCAGCGUGAGCGCAAGUGUUGAGGGGGAUACACGUUUUCCAGAUACACACAAUGCCAAGGACGACGCCCUUGUCCAAGACCACCUACGGAUCAUAAUCGGCUACAGGAGAGGGAUGGCUAACGGACUGACACGAUCUACUUUGGAAUGAGAACAAGGCGGAGGAAGAAACGAGACAGGGCCAGGUAGGGGGUCGCCUUAAUGUAGACUGGUCUGAAUGUCAUCGAUUAUCUUUGCCAUCUUUGCAGUCCGCCAUUGUGGGUUAUGGCUGAGAAACACAACAUGAAAAUACGGACAUUUGGCAACAAGAUUACCGUUUAGAAAUCAUGACACUCCAGCAGGUGGUUAUAAGGGCAAAGAUGUGUGAAGAAUGUCAAACAUAAUGGUAUAUAAUGAGCAAAAUAACAAACCUGCUAACACUUGUGUCAAGCUAUUACUGGCAUGAAAUGCUAAUACGCCAAUGCUAACAAAAAAGAAUGGCCUUUUAUUCCUAUGGUGAUUUCUGCAUUUUCUCUUUUUCUCCCCUGUUGAAUUGGAUUAGAAUAGGCAGCGGUGAAAUGCCUUUGGACGACUGUAGCCACCGUUUAGCAAUGGAUGCACUGGAAAGGAAAGCCCGCUUUUUUUUCCGUCUAGCACUGCAGGUAGCCAUAUACUCUUACCCUUUCCAACAGAGAUCCUUUCGGACCGAAUCACAGAAAAUAUCUUAUAAGGAUCCGACGAAGGGCCCUCACAUAAGACGAUUAAAAUCUUCAUUCAUUCACAGUGAAUCUCUUUUACAUCCCCUCCUUCUUCCCCCUCUGUUCCUCAAGCUUCGCCAUCAUGGGGUCUCGGUGGGAAGCCAGUGAGAAAACUGACCCCCAGUGGUGGAUAUCUUUGAUUCUUCAAACAUUGGGCUAAAAUGCAGGCUGUCAGCAUGCGAAACCCACCUUUAUUGACUCUUGGUUGGAUAUCAAGCAGAUUAGAUAUUGGAUACUGGUCUUGUUUUGAAAACUUUUUUGUUAGUUCUAACAAGAUCAGUGGUCAGGUUGAAGCCAUAAUCGUACCAUUAGAUUUGCUUUGGAGAUAAGUAACAUGUCAUAUAUGUGUAAAUAAGUAUAGCAUAACAAAAAAAAAAAAAAGAUUGUGUUUUUUGCAGAAUAUGUAUAAGAAAUAAUCUAAGUAGGGAUGCAUUGGGAUGCAUUCAAACCAAGUACAGGUUCACAAGCAAAGUCCAGACCAUGGUUAUAGCUGUCUGUGCAGAGCGGUCUGCUACUAUCUGUGCACCAAAUGACCAGUUAGGGCCUCCGGGAGGAAAUCGCAAGCAUUCCUCUAUGAUCGUAAGACGUAUUUACAUACGCUCUCUAAAUAAUUCUGUGGUAUGCUGUAGCAACCAAUGAAAUUUUUUUGUUGUUGUUGUUGUUGUUUUUUUUUUACCCAAAAGGGCUUUCUAUUAUUUAUGCCCUUAAAACUCGACACGGGUUUGGUCACGAAGGCUG